RNAcentral lists this transfer RNA (88 nucleotides) under Streptomyces massasporeus. Its description in RNAcentral is "tRNA-Pro". The record is from RNAcentral. Lineage: Bacteria; Bacillati; Actinomycetota; Actinomycetes; Kitasatosporales; Streptomycetaceae.
AGGCGGUCUUGAAGAGGGCCUCGACCUGCUCGGGGUCGGUCACGUCAACCUUCACGAAGGUGCCGCCGACCUCCUCGGCGGCGGCCUU